UGAAGAGGCCUCCCAGAAGCAGCCUGGGGUUCCUGAGACAGGUAGAGCUCCUCCAGGGAGCCAUGAUACAGCUUUGUCCCUGGAAAGAGAGACAGGCGGGGACAGAUACGACCUUGGGAAAAGUCGAGGAAUGCAGAGAACGGGAAGUGACAAGAGCCCCAGGCAGCUUGGAGCUAAGAGGGUACCUUGUGGAGGUUACCUGACGUUCCAGGGUCAGAAAGACCUGGAUGCUGGAGGAAGCCGGAGCUGGAUGCAGGAAGACCAUCAGGAGGAGGAGGAGGAACCAGGCCAAAAGAAGAACACAGGCAAAAGUACAGAGCUGAGGACCGAACCCAGGGCCUUGCGCUGCCUACCCAAGUGGUCUUCACGAUGUCACUCCUCUCCCUUUCUAAGGAGACUCCUGCACCCUGCACAGACACUGAUCCUGAAGCUGUCUGACAGUUCAGUGUCACUGCAGCCCAGCUGAUCUUUGCUGCUGCCUUUCCUGUCCCACGCAUGGCUGAUGCUCCUCUGCACCGUGAGGGUGAGGGAGGAACUUCCUCUGCCCGCCCGGUCCCUAAACCACAAAACCCCAUCUGAGCUGUGUCCUGUGCGUUUCCUUGGAGAUCUUACUCUCUCAGAUGGCCUCUGUAUCUGGCUACGCACUGUAUCUCCAGUCCAGAUCUUUCUCUGGCUCUCUGAUCUUAAUUGCUGUCCACCUAAAAACUCCACAAGUAUUUCACAGGAACUACAACUUCAGUUUGCACCAAAUUGAACAUUUCCCUACAAAUCUCUUUCUCUUCCUGUGAGGGUUUGUGUAUGUUUGGCCCAGGAAGUGACACUAUUAGGAGGUGUGGCCUACACCUUAUUGGAGUAGGUGUGUCUCUGUGGGUGUGAGCUUUAAGACCUCAUCCUAGCUGCCUGGAAGUCAGUCUUCUGUUAGCAACCUUCAGAUGAAGAUGUAGAACUCUCAGCUCCUCCUGCACCAUGCCUGCCUGGAUGCUGCCAUGUUCCCACCUUGAUGAUAAUAGACUGAAACUCUGAACCUGUGAGCCAGCCCCAAUUAAAUGUUGUCCUUAUAAGA
This is a long non-coding RNA of Apodemus sylvaticus (European woodmouse), 1063 nucleotides long. RefSeq lists it as uncharacterized. Lineage: Eukaryota; Metazoa; Chordata; Mammalia; Rodentia; Muridae. The record is from RefSeq and is a predicted model, not a curated record. The transcript is spliced from 3 exons.